RNAcentral lists this ribosomal RNA (626 nucleotides) under Staphylococcus aureus. RNAcentral's name for it is "partial 23S ribosomal RNA". It matches the Rfam family "Bacterial large subunit ribosomal RNA", at positions 2299 to 2925 of the family's 2925-position model. The record is from RNAcentral. Lineage: Bacteria; Bacillati; Bacillota; Bacilli; Caryophanales; Staphylococcaceae.
AACGGAGGCGCUCAAAGGUUCCCUCAGAAUGGUUGGAAAUCAUUCAUAGAGUGUAAAGGCAUAAGGGAGCUUGACUGCGAGACCUACAAGUCGAGCAGGGUCGAAAGACGGACUUAGUGAUCCGGUGGUUCCGCAUGGAAGGGCCAUCGCUCAACGGAUAAAAGCUACCCCGGGGAUAACAGGCUUAUCUCCCCCAAGAGUUCACAUCGACGGGGAGGUUUGGCACCUCGAUGUCGGCUCAUCGCAUCCUGGGGCUGUAGUCGGUCCCAAGGGUUGGGCUGUUCGCCCAUUAAAGCGGUACGCGAGCUGGGUUCAGAACGUCGUGAGACAGUUCGGUCCCUAUCCGUCGUGGGCGUAGGAAAUUUGAGAGGAGCUGUCCUUAGUACGAGAGGACUGGGAUGGACAUACCUCUGGUGUACCAGUUGUCGUGCCAACGGCAUAGCUGGGUAGCUAUGUGUGGACGGGAUAAGUGCUGAAAGCAUCUAAGCAUGAAGCCCCCCUCAAGAUGAGAUUUCCCAACUUCGGUUAUAAGAUCCCUCAAAGAUGAUGAGGUUAAUAGGUUCGAGGUGGAAGCAUGGUGACAUGUGGAGCUGACGAAUACUAAUCGAUCGAAGACUUAAUCAAAA